UGAUAUGCUGCACUUUGCUGAUGAGAGGAGCGAAUUGCUUACUUGGAAUGCCCGGGUUAGAGUAGCACUUGGCACUGCUCGAGCUUUAGAGUACUUGCAUGAAGUCUGUCUACCUUCUGUUGUACAUAGAAACUUCAAAUCCGCAAAUAUUUUACUAGAUGAAGAGCUCAAUCCCCAUUUAUCAGAUUGUGGGUUAGCAGCUUUGACUCCCAACACAGAACGCCAGGUGUCAUCUACACAGAUGAUUGGUUCAUUCGGCUAUAGCGCUCCUGAAUUUGCUUUAUCUGGAAUAUACACUGUAAAAAGUGACGUAUAUAGUUUUGGUGUGGUAAUGUUGGAGUUGUUA
This 346-nucleotide unclassified non-coding RNA is filed under the name Hevea brasiliensis (rubber tree). Lineage: Eukaryota; Viridiplantae; Streptophyta; Magnoliopsida; Malpighiales; Euphorbiaceae. The record is from RNAcentral.